GCCCGGCAGCCGUACCGCAGACGAGCCCGCGCCCGCGCCGCUCAGAGGCUGAGGGAAGAAAAGAAUAAUUUAAAUGAAAUUUAGUUUCUAUAAAGAAAACGAUUAAAAACAAGAAAUGAGCAUUGACUAUUAGGCACCUGGAUGAAGACUGGGUCCAGAUUGUCAGUCUCCUGUAACCUGCAGAAGCCCUCCAGUUGCACUAGGAACAUUCAAUUGAA
RNAcentral lists this long non-coding RNA (218 nucleotides) under Homo sapiens (human). RNAcentral describes it as "non-protein coding lnc-NAALADL2-1:11". Lineage: Eukaryota; Metazoa; Chordata; Mammalia; Primates; Hominidae. The record is from RNAcentral.